GACGACCAUUGAGCGUGCAAUGAUAGAUACCUGUGAAUAAUUGUCUAUAGGUGUGAAAGAAGGUUUCUAUCAUUGCACGCUCAACGGUUGUCUUGCUUUGAUGACAAGGCACGGCUACCUUUCAAGAUGGCGCAGGUAACUGUGAAGGAGACUAUUGCAUUUAAAUUCAGCAUAAGAAGUUUGACCAUUUAGUGUGAGUUCUUUCCAUUUUCCUUUUGUAGUACAGUAGCAAGGGUUAGAAAGUAUUUUCUGUUAAUGCCAAUUGCUACUUGGACUUUAUAUGAUUUAAAAAGCUUAUUGCACUACUUCAUGUUAUGUAAGCCUUUGUAAUUAAUGAGCCAACCAGAAGGCGACUGGCUGAUGGCUAGUAAAUUAACAUAACAUGAAGUUUCGCUUUAAAAUAAGUGUAUUACUGAGGUGUGUCUAACAAAAACUUGAAAGACUUUUUUUUUCUUUACUCAAAUGUUUGUAACGUGUUUGUCUAUGUUUGUUCCAUUUUAAACUUCUCGAGAGUAGAAUUCGGUAGAAUUCGGUUUCUUUCUUUUACAACCAUCUGCAUUUAUCCAUCUUUCAAAACGUUGGCCAAGCAAAAAGUCUUGACUGGUCUGCUGAUUUUUGCAGAAUUUGUGUCAUGAGCCCGCGAUCUAAAUCGGUUACGUAAACAAAUUUGACAAGACAAAAUAAACGAAACCAUACAACCGACCAUAUAGGGGCCUAAAUCACCAAUGUUUGGGAUGUAGAUCUUGGCUUCACUUAUAAAUGUCUUUCUUAAAGAAGAUCUUCACUAAAAAUCCACCGGUAGAGAUGUAUAGAGGCAAGGAGUUACAUACAGUGGUUCAUUACAGCCCCCUAAGCCAGAUGAGCGAGAUAAUAGAUGGCCAUCUUUAUCUCGGAAGUUUACGAAUAGCAAUGGAAGAAAAACAGCUAAAAGAACGAGGAAUUACUGAUAUUAUUAACGCGAGUAUGGAAGAGCGAAAAUACAAAAUUCCUGUCAAAUGUAUGGUUAUAAACAUCAAUGACAAUUCAGACGCCGAUAUAUCGCUGUAUUUUGAUAUGGUAGCCGACAAAAUAGAUGCAGUAAAAAAGGAAAAUGGAAGGGUAUUGGUUCACUGCGUGGCUGGUGUCAGUAGGUCAGCCACUCUCGUGAUUGCAUAUCUCAUGAAAUACUACAAAAUGACCUUAAAAGAUUCCCAUGAUUUUGUCAAGAAAAAAAGGUCGAUCAUCAGCCCAAAUUAUGGAUUCUGGAAUCACCUCAUAGACUAUGAAAAGAAACUAUUUGGAAAAAGCACAGUUGAAAAGAAAGAGACUGCGAAAAAGAAAGAUGUUGGCUACGUACUUUAUCACUGAUAGUUUGUAUAUAUUGUAGCGUUCCUCUAAAUUGCUUUAUUUGUACUUCAGGCUAAUCCUAACUAGGGAGGGGAGGGUCAGUCUAAUCAUUACAAUAUUGUAGAGUGUCCUAAGCCAGUGAAACAAUAAGAUAAUUUAUGCAAAAUUAAUUAUUGAGAAUGAAAGAUUUGGUACUAAAAUUGUAUCUGAAUUUUUAGUUUUUAAGCAUGAAUUUUUUGAGAUUCAAAAGGCAAAAGACCAGAGGACGUAAUGGGAGGGGUGGAUCCAUAAUUUUGUUUUCAACAUUUCAUCAUGUCACAUAGUAUUAAACUCCUUGUGAACGCAUUCUCUGGGACUCACCAGCUCGUCCCAGGAACCACGUGCAAGGAAUAACUGAGUGCAAGAACUGGUACUUAUAAAAAAAAUCAUUUUUGAUGAAACACCAACAUGGCUGCCAUGAUGUCAGCUGAAUAAAAACAAUUAUUUAUAAUUAUUAAUUAUAUUGAUAUAGUGCAUGAACUCAAGCAUCCUCCACUGACUUUUCCUGACAUAGGAAGAAUACAGCUUGCCUGUGGAGGAUGCUAAUUCCUUUCUUAAAUAACAAAAAAAUAUCACAGGAGUGGGGUCAGAUGUAGCCAGAACAAAUGUACACAUUCUAGUGAAAAAUGCUUGAGGCUACUGCAGUUUUAAUAUAUAUUCACAGAGAGAGAACAAAAUAACUUUAUUGUUCAUUUUGUACAUUACUCAGUCACUGUAUACAUCAGUAUAUAUUGUAAAUAAAAAUGUUAUGAUUCUUUUA
This 2125-nucleotide unclassified non-coding RNA is filed under the name Exaiptasia diaphana. RNAcentral's name for it is "dual specificity protein phosphatase 14, transcript variant X1". Lineage: Eukaryota; Metazoa; Cnidaria; Anthozoa; Actiniaria; Aiptasiidae. The record is from RNAcentral.